Molecule: ribosomal RNA, 433 nt
Filed under: uncultured bacterium
Lineage: Bacteria
Description: partial 16S ribosomal RNA
Rfam family: Bacterial small subunit ribosomal RNA
Source: RNAcentral
AACGAACGCUGGCGGCAUGCCUAACACAUGCAAGUCGAACGAGACCUUCGGGUCUAGUGGCGCACGGGUGCGUAACGCGUGGGAACCUGCCCUUUGGUUCGGAAUAACUCCCCGAAAGGGGUGCUAAUACCGGAUAAUGUCUUCGGACCAAAGAUUUAUCGCCUUUGGAUGGGCCCGCGUUGGAUUAGCUAGUUGGUAGGGUAAAAGCCUACCAAGGCGACGAUCCAUAGCUGGUCUGAGAGGAUGAUCAGCCACACUGGGACUGAGACGCGGCCCAGACUCCUACGGGAGGCAGCAGUGGGGAAUAUUGGACAAUGGGCGAAAGCCUGAUCCAGCAAUGCCGCGUGAGUGAUGAAGGCCUUAGGGUUGUAAAGCUCUUUUACCCGGGAUGAUAAUGACAGUACCGGGAGAAUAAGCUCCGGCUAACUCCGUG